Molecule: long non-coding RNA, 376 nt
Organism: Esox lucius (northern pike)
Lineage: Eukaryota; Metazoa; Chordata; Actinopteri; Esociformes; Esocidae
Source: Ensembl
CAGAAGUGUUGAUAUGUGUUUUGAAAGUCCUGGAAUUUCUUUCUAGCCACUGUACUAGGAUUUCAGUAUGACAUUUCACAGCAUUUUUUCAAGGCAUCUGAAAUGAACGGUCCAUGAGCUUGUGGUGGGGGGCUUUCAAGACUUCAAAAUAAGGCUUUAUGAAUAUAUGUGUUUAAGCCACCGACGUAGCUGCAAAUCUGGGGUUGGUGCUAGUGAAAUAUGAAACUGACUUGACUACUGCAACGCACUCCUCAUCUGGAUCCCUGGCAGGAGCCUUCAGUGACUGCAGUACAUCCAGAAUUAUGCUGCCAGGGUCCUGAUGAGGCCACACACUCCAGGUCCCCAAGUCCAAACUCCACACUAUGGGAGAUAGGGC